UCUUCCAACACUUACCAGGAAGAGACUGACUUAUUAUUUCUCUUUUCUGUCAUACUGACUCUCUUCUCUCUUGACAAAAGCAAUAAAGAAUCAUUGAUCAGUGGAGAACGAAGAGAAACACUUUCAAGAAGGAUUUUUGAGACAUUUGUUUCUGAACAGAUCGUUGUGAUUCUCAAGGUGAUUCAUUUUUAAAACCGUCGUUCAGAAAGUGAAAGUAAAGUUUAUAUUGCUGGAGCUCAAACAAAAUGGCUUCACUAAAUGAUUCUGCUGAAGAACUUUCUUGUCCCGUGUGCUGUGAAAUCUUCAAGACUCCUGUUUUUUUAUCAUGUAGUCACAGUGUCUGUAAAGAGUGUCUUCAACAGUUCUGGAGAACCAAGAAAACUCAGGAGUGUCCUGUCUGCAGGAGAAGAUCCUCAAGUGAAUGUCCUCCAGUUAAUCUUGUGUUAAAAAACUUGUGUGAGUUGGUCCUGAGGGAGAGAAAUGAGACGAGUUCAUCAGGAUCUGAGGAGAUCUGCAGUUUACACAGUGAGAAACUCAAACUCUUCUGUCUGGAGGACAAACAGCCUGCGUGUUUAGUGUGCAGAGAUUCACAGAAACACGUCAGUCACACAUUCAGACCCAUCUGUGAAGUUGUUUCAUCAUAUAAGGAGGAGCUCAAUACAGCACUGAAGUCCUUACAAGAGAAACUUCAACACAAUGAAGAAAUGAAAGGAGAGUUUGAGAAAACAGUUCAACACAUCGAGUCUCAAGCUGAGCACACAGAGCGUCAGAUUAAACAGCAGUUUGAGAAGCUUCAUCAGUUUCUCAGAGAUGAAGAAGAAGCUACAAUCACUGCACUGAGGGAGGAAGAGGAGCAGAAGAAGCAGAUGAUGAAGGAGAAGCUGGAGGAGAUGAACAGACACAUCUCAGCUCUUUCACACACAAUCAAAGACACGGAGGAGAUGAUGAAAGCCAAUGACGUCUGCUUUCUGAAGGAGUUUCCCGUCUCAAAGGAAAGAGUCCAGAGCUCACAGCCGGAUCCACAGAUGGCUUCUGGAGCUUUGAUUCAUGUGCCGCGUUACUUGGGCAACCUGCUGUUCAGAGUCUGGAAGAAGAUGCAGGACAUCGUCCAAAACACUCCUGUGAUUCUGGAUCCAAACACUGUGAGUCCAUAUCUCGUCCUGUCUGAUGAUCUGACCAGUGUAAGAAACAGCGGGAUCAAACAACCUCUUCCUGAUAAUCCAGAGAGAUUUGACUGUGAUCCCUGUGUUCUGGGUUCAGAGGGGUUUAACUCAGGAACACACUGCUGGGAUGUGGAGGUUAAAGAGAGUUCAGGCUGGAUUCUUGGAGUAACUACAGCAUCAAACCAGAGGAAGGGAGUUGUUUUCUUCAACACUGAUGUCUGGUGUGUGUCGAACGGUUGGGCUCCAUGUUCUGGUUUUCGUGUCAAACAGAAGCUUGAUCGUGUGAGAGUGAAUCUGGACUAUGACAGAGGAACGGUGUCAUUCUCUGAUCCUGUAACUAACACACAUCUACACACACUCACAACCACCUUCACUCACACACUCUUUCCAUUCUUCUGGUGUCAUGAUGGAUCUCUGAGGAUCAAUAGUCAGUAAUCGUUACUCCUGUAGGUCUGGAUCUUCCUGCUUUCAUCAUGUUUCCAAUAUUUAAUCCAGAUCACAUGAUAAGAGUGCUGUUGAUCUGAAUAUCAGUACGGUGGCUGUGAUUGGGCCGUGAUGAUCACAUGACUGAUAUCAGCACUACAGCAACACUCACACUCUCAUAUUUCAUAAAACAGAUCAAUAAACAACAAGUUUAUUUAAUUAGAGUUUAGAAGAAGUUUAAAAAGCACUUUACACAAGAAGAUCAAUUUUUUUAGACCAUUGUAGGAUAAUGACCUGAUUAUUUUCAGUAAAGUUCGUCAAUUUGCUCAUUUUCACAUAUUUUUUUUUUCUAGAAACAGAACCUAAUUCUACACAGUUUCAGUGAAUUUGUAAAUGAAUAAUUGUUUAUUUCAGUUUAAAUGAUCAUGUGUUCACUAAAAUACAUGUAAAUGAUGAACUCUUAGAAACUCUUGAUUAGCAGCAUUUAUGGAUCUAAUUUUAAAAAACAAAAAGUCAAAGUUUCUGUGAUUCACUGACAAAGACUGAGUUUCAGAACAGAAUUUGAUGAUCUCUAGUUUUAAAAGUUUUGAACUACAGCAUCAUUCAGACACACAGACAUUGAGAAUCUCAACAAUGACGAUCAAAAGCUUCAUGCCGCAGUGCAUGCUGGGAGUUUUGUGUGCUGGCACCCAGCAUGCAUUGCAGCAUUAAGUUUUUGAUUGUCACCAUUUCUGAUGUGUGAAUGAUGCAGAACCUCUGAAUGUGUUAUGUGAUGAUGAAUCAUCAUGAUCGUCUGAUUGGCUGAUCUCAUUCUGUCUAUAAAUCACAGAGUCUUUCUUUGGUGUCAAAUCGUUCCUAUCAGAUCACAUCUAACAAUCAUUACAGGCAGUAAGUUAGUUUCACGUCAUAUACUUACUGCUUACAACAUUGUGUGGAGCUGCUUGACAUUCUUCUUUAGGCAGAUGUUUAUUAAGAUUAAAAGUGGUUUAUUUUGUUUAAAAUCUUAUGAAUGUAUGAGGUGGUGAGAGGGUCUUUUACCCCACAGACACUAAACCAGCAUGAGGAAAAAGACACACAGUAAUGAUACAAACACUUUAGCUAAAAUAAUGUUUUUAAUAAUGUCUAAGUUAAUACUUGUUUAAAACAGUCACUUUAGCAAAGUUUGUACUAUUUUCUGUGUUUAUUUUGAUAAAUAAAAGAAUUCAUUUUUGUUCAAUAAAUAUACUGUUAUAAAAAUAUGUUCAUUUUAAAAAUACAGAAACAAAAUUAUUUAAAAAACGUAAAGAUUGUGAAAGUAUUGAAGAAGAUCACAUAAUAAUUGAACCUCUGGUGCUCCUUAUUUGUGAAUCACACUCAUUGUCCUCACGGUCAAAAGUGACCGGACACCUGUAACGUAACCUUAUUUUUUCAGUAAAAUCAUUCCAAUUCAUUUUUGUUUAAUAAUAUUUUUUCUUUUUGCAUUUUGAGAGGGUUUUGUGGUAAUAUCCAUUAAUAUCCAUUUUCCCCAUAGAAAAUGUAUAUAUAUUUUCCAAUUUAUGCAGUAUUUCAGGUUAAAGGACUUUAACCAGUCUAAGCCUUUAAAAUCAGGCAGAUUAGCGCCAUCUGUUGAGAGUGUAGAAAGAAAACAUGUAAUAUCAUGGUGUGACCACUAGUUGCCUGUAUAGCUCUCUGAAGCAGCCUAGUUGUUUUUA
Molecule: RNA transcript, 3277 nt
Organism: Ctenopharyngodon idella (grass carp)
Lineage: Eukaryota; Metazoa; Chordata; Actinopteri; Cypriniformes; Xenocyprididae
Gene name: nuclear factor 7, ovary-like
Exons: 7
Source: RefSeq, a predicted model, not a curated record